Molecule: long non-coding RNA, 632 nt
Organism: Megalobrama amblycephala (Wuchang bream)
Lineage: Eukaryota; Metazoa; Chordata; Actinopteri; Cypriniformes; Xenocyprididae
Exons: 3
Source: RefSeq, a predicted model, not a curated record
UGUGCUUAAUUUUAUUGAAUACACACUUAUAGUGCACUUCAAAUCAAAUAAAUGUUACACUUAAGAAAAAAGUUUAAUAUGGAAGCUAGACAUUUUACUUUAUAACUUGAAUAUGGAUAUUUUUCUUACACAGACGCAUCGCUUCGCUUUGGAAGGCCUUUAUUAACCCCCCUGAGCCGUGUGGAAUACGUUUAUGAGGAUGGAUGGAUGUACUUUCUUCAGCUUCAAACUCCUUGGUCCCAUUCACAGCCAUUCUAAAGUCUGAAUGCGUCAGGAAUGCAUUAAUAUAACUCCGAUUGUGUUCAUCAGAAAGAAGAAAGUCAUAUAUACACCUAGGAUGGCUUGAGGGACAAGUACGUUGGGAACCAAACAACACUGGGGCUUACUUCCAUUGAAAGCAUAAAUCCUUCAAUUCGGUAUAAAUCCAUACCGAAAUGGCAAAUAACAACUCCCCGUUUACCAUUGGCUUGGCAGAGGACCACACCAGCCCCACUCCACAUCUAGAGACCAGCCACCCGCCACGGACGACCGGCACGAUGGAGAAUGUUUUUUUUUCUUGUUUUAAGCAUAAAUCCAGUGAUAUAGGUAUAAAUGAACUUAAUUCAAAAUAUAUUCAAGAUAAAUUCUCUGAA